Spea bombifrons (plains spadefoot toad) is the source of this 272-nucleotide long non-coding RNA. RefSeq lists it as uncharacterized. The record is from RefSeq and is a predicted model, not a curated record. The transcript has 2 exons. Lineage: Eukaryota; Metazoa; Chordata; Amphibia; Anura; Pelobatidae.
GUGCUGCUGGUUUGGCCAAACACAUCUCCUGCACGUCAUAUAGCAAGUUGGUGUGGAAAUGGGGCAAAUGCCUAUGAGGGGGCAACUUUAAGACUAUAAGAGGCCUUGCCAUCAAUGAUGAAUUCCACUUUGGACUUAAAUGGUUAUUAAUUCCAAGGCGCAUAUCAAAUAAUUGUGUGCAUUUAUGUUUUAAUGUUUUUUUUUUUAAGUUAUGUAAUUGUUUUAUUGUAGUCUUUUACCUAUUUGAAAUAAAAUAUAAUUUAUGUAAUAAA